RNAcentral lists this ribosomal RNA (398 nucleotides) under uncultured bacterium. Its description in RNAcentral is "partial 16S ribosomal RNA". It matches the Rfam family "Bacterial small subunit ribosomal RNA", at positions 523 to 918 of the family's 1533-position model. The record is from RNAcentral.
AUACGUAGGGUGCGAGCGUUGUCCGGAAUUACUGGGCGUAAAGAGCUCGUAGGUGGUUUGUCGCGUCGUCUGUGAAAUUCCGGGGCUUAACUCCGGGCGUGCAGGCGAUACGGGCAUAACUUGAGAACUGUAGGGGAGACUGGAAUUCCUGGUGUAGCGGUGAAAUGCGCAGAUAUCAGGAGGAACACCGGUGGCGAAGGCGGGUCUCUGGGCAGUAACUGACGCUGAGGAGCGAAAGCAUGGGUAGCGAACAGGAUUAGAUACCCUGGUAGUCCAUGCCGUAAACGGUGGGCGCUAGGUGUAGGGGUCUUCCACGACUUCUGUGCCGUAGCUAACGCAUUAAGCGCCCCGCCUGGGGAGUACGGCCGCAAGGCUAAAACUCAAAGGAAUUGACGGGG